This 301-nucleotide ribosomal RNA is filed under the name uncultured bacterium. RNAcentral describes it as "partial 16S ribosomal RNA". It matches the Rfam family "Archaeal small subunit ribosomal RNA", at positions 459 to 760 of the family's 1478-position model. The record is from RNAcentral.
CAGUCGCCGCGGUAAUACCAGCACCUCGAGUGGUCAGGAGGUUUAUUGGGCCUAAAGCAUCCGUAGCCGGUUGCAUAAGUUUUCGGUUAAAUCUAUGCGCUUAACGUAUAGGCCGCCGAAAAUACUGUGCAGCUAGGGAGUGGGAGAGGUACACGGUACUCGAUAGGAAGGGGUAAAAUCCUUUGAUCUAUUGAUGACCACCUGUGGCGAAGGCGGUGUACCAGAACACGUUCGACGGUGAGGGAUGAAAGCUGGGGGAGCAAACCGGAUUAGAGACCCCCGUAGUCCCUGUCUCUUAUAC